RNAcentral lists this ribosomal RNA (754 nucleotides) under uncultured Sebacina. RNAcentral describes it as "partial 28S ribosomal RNA". It matches the Rfam family "Eukaryotic large subunit ribosomal RNA", at positions 216 to 962 of the family's 3401-position model. The record is from RNAcentral. Lineage: Eukaryota; Fungi; Basidiomycota; Agaricomycetes; Sebacinales; Sebacinaceae.
GAAUCCCGUAUAUGGCACGGACUGCCGUUGCUCUGCGAUACACUCUCAACGAGUCGAGUUGUUUGGGAAUGCAGCUCCAAAUGGGUGGUAAAUGCCAUCUAAAGCUAAAUAUUGGCGAGAGACCGAUAGCGAACAAGUACCGUGAGGGAAAGAUGAAAAGCACUUUGGAAAGAGAGUGAAACAGUACGUGAAAUUGUUGAAAGGGAAACACUUGAAGUCAGUCGCGCCGUUCGGGACUCAGCCUUGCUUCUGCUUGGUUUACUUCCCGUUGGGUGGGUCAACAUCAGUUUUGGUCGGAGGAGAAAGGCCUGUGGAAGGUAGCAGCUUUGCUGUGUUAUAGCCACCUGUUGUAUACUUCGACUGGGACUGAGGAUCGCAGCACGCCUUUGGCCGGGGCUUUGCCCACGUACGUGCUUAGGAUGUUGGCAUAAUGGCUUUAAGUGACCCGUCUUGAAACACGGACCAAGGAGUCUAACAUGUGCGCGAGUGUUUGGGUGUUAAACUCGGACGCGAAAUGAAAGUAACAAGUUGGGAACACUUUUGUGUGCACCGACGCCCGGAGCUGACCUUCUGUGACGCAUCUGCGGUAGAGCGUAUAUGUUGGGACCCGAAAGAUGGUGAACUAUGCCUGAAUAGGGUGAAGCCAGAGGAAACUCUGGUGGAGGCUCGUAGCGAUUCUGACGUGCAAAUCGAUCGUCAAAUUUGGGUAUAGGGGCGAAAGACUAAUCGAACCAUCUAGUAGCUGGUUCCUGCC